CUUGGCACCUCGACGGGGUCUAACGGGUGAUCAGCAAUGCCUGUGGCCUAGACCUGCGACCUUCAUUGCACUCUGAAGGGGUGCUAGUUUACCAUCCGCCCAAGUGGCAGAAUGGACAUCAUAAUUUGUGAUGUGAUAGGGGGAUUCUCAUCCGCGCGGCCCCUAC
This is a small nuclear RNA of Dendrobium catenatum, 166 nucleotides long. RefSeq annotates it as U1 spliceosomal RNA. The transcript has a single exon. NCBI's taxonomy places the organism in Eukaryota, Viridiplantae, Streptophyta, Magnoliopsida, Asparagales, Orchidaceae. The record is from RefSeq and is a predicted model, not a curated record.